This 253-nucleotide ribosomal RNA is filed under the name uncultured bacterium. Its description in RNAcentral is "partial 16S ribosomal RNA". It matches the Rfam family "Bacterial small subunit ribosomal RNA", at positions 524 to 776 of the family's 1533-position model. The record is from RNAcentral.
UACGUAGGGUGCGAGCGUUAAUCGGAAUUACUGGGCGUAAAGCGUGCGCAGGCGGUUUUGUAAGUCAGAUGUGAAAUCCCCGGGCUUAACCUGGGAAUGGCAUUUGGGACUGCAAGGCUGGAGUUUGGCAGAGGAGACUGGAAUUCCCGGUGUAGCAGUGAAAUGCGUAGAUAUCGGGAGGAAUACCGAUGGCGAAGGCAGGUCUCUGGGCUAUAACUGACGCUCAUGCACGAAAGCGUUGGGAGCAAACAGG